UGCCAAGCCAGUGUGUCUUAUUUGCAAUGAAAAUGUCGCUGUUUGCAAAGACGUCAUUAUUAGCAUGUCCGGCCCCGCCUCAGACAGGGGCCGGACGCAGACACAUUGAAGAGUUAACUGCAAGCUACACACACACGGUUGACAUGUUAUGUCACUUAAACGGGUUACAUAUGCAGUUAAAAGGAGGGAAAACAGUCGUGGACAUGGUGGAAAAACUUGAGGCCUUUAUUAUUAGGAAGCUUGAGGUUUUCGAUUUGGACAUGUAAUCUGGAAGACUACUGCAUUUCAGCACACUGAAGAAACGACAGGCAGAGGGACCAGGCCACAGCAUUGUCACAGAGGUGAUGGAAGAUUUCAUAAAGCAGCUGAGGGACAACUUCUCCACCAGAUUUGAAGACAACAGCAUGCCCAAGGAUAUCAUUGCGUUUCAAGAUUUACAUGCUAAAAUUGCUACUGAUCUCAUGCGACAUCCACAAGAUCGUGUCCGAGGGGAAAUUCAACUUUUUCCGUUGAGAGCAGGGCAAGCAGGCUCUCACGACACAGAUAUUCAGACACAGACAGUGACUUUUUUCUUUCAAUUAUUGUUUUAUGUAAGAUGCUACAUUUUUGGCCAGUUGCAAUUGUAAGUGGGCCUAAUAAAAAAAAUCCCAUUUCUAAUAGGACAUAUAUUUUUUUGUGAAAUAUGUUGUUAAGCCUCGUAGCCGAUCUCCGUCAGUUACAUUAUUUUAUAUAGGCCUAGGCUCGGAAGAAAUAAGCCCUCUUGUUGUUUAUAAAGUCUA
This is a long non-coding RNA of Oncorhynchus tshawytscha (Chinook salmon), 779 nucleotides long. RefSeq lists it as uncharacterized. The record is from RefSeq and is a predicted model, not a curated record. Lineage: Eukaryota; Metazoa; Chordata; Actinopteri; Salmoniformes; Salmonidae. The transcript is spliced from 3 exons.